UUCACUCUCCCCUACAGAGAGAGAGAGUGAAAAGACUCUUGCGACAAUAGAAAAGAGAGACUCUUGCGGCAAUAGAAAACAAAACGUAGCGUAAUCUUCUGCUUCAACUGUAGGUGGCUGGCCCCGAACAUGGCAAUGUAUCAUUCGUGCACGCUGAGCAAAGAACACAUCGUUUUGCUUCUAAGAGAACAGGCCGCCGCAGUUCAAAGGAACGCGUAGCGAGCGCUCUACUUUUUCACUCGGAGUGGCUCCACCGCGCGCGCGCGCGCCCAAGAUCGCGGAACAACACAGCACUGGAGAAAGUAGAUCCAUCCAGCGAGCAAAGGCCAGCCGAGGGAGAUCGUGUGGCAGCCAUCUCGCGUCGCCACGAAAACACGACAGUCGUUCGUCAUGCCUUGGAUAUAACAACAAAUCCUCCACGGGGGAAUCUGCGACCACUGAAGUUACGUGCAGCACCAGUGCUAGUUAGAAACUUUGCCGCAGGCAUUCAGCUGCAUGCUGCAAGAGGUCAGUUGGGCGCGUUAUCUUGAACUUACUGAAAACGCAUGAGGAAUCCAUGUUUUAUGAUGAAAAUAGUAUAAACCCCAUAUAAGCGAUCUUGCACGCGGCAGCUACAAGCGACGCGACGGAGAUGGCUGUCGCGUUCGCUCGUCGCCUACAAGUCGUACUCCGUGCGAGCGACGAUUUUGAGCGACGCCUCCCCGGUGUUGCCGGCAUGAGGGCUGCAGUCACGCGUGACGCAUGCUUUAGUAAUUUACGUUGAUGUAUUUUACUAAAAAAGUAGCAUAAAAUAUUUCCGGAGGUCUUGCAGUACGUUCUUAUCCUUGCACGUAUAAAAAUUGAAUCAUUUGCUCGUUCCGCGCGACAAUCGGUAGUAUUUGAGCGAUGUAUGUACAUCCAGUUCCGGCUUCGCGCUAUUGGCUAGUCGCUCAUAGCACUUCUGGGCGACGAGCGACGAUUUCUAGAUUUCCAGAACCGAGCCAUCUGUUCAAGCGACGGCCCGUUUUGUCGCUCGUCGCCGUCGCGCACUAAAUCGCUCUCACAGUGUUUAUCCCUGUUUUUGCUCAUGUUGAAAUGGUGUGAUUAUAGGUCUGGUUUUGUCUCCUGUUGCGGUUUUCGUGCACGGUGCGAAACUGAAAGGAUGCUUAUGUCUACGAACUCGGUGAAUUGUCGAGCAGCUAGUUACGCAUCGGCAUCGAAUAUAACGGCUGCUGUGUGGAAUUACAAUUGCAGGGGCGCUUUGCAUACGCUUAUUGUUUUGGACAUGCCUGUGCAUUUGCUAAUAUGAGUUGGCGUGUCAGAGUUAUGUCAUAUGAACAGCUAAAUCAGCCUUCCUCUGGGGGUUACAAGCGUAAUGUGUGCAUUUUGCUAUAGCAUGGCAGAUUAUGAUGUGUUUAUCGCUUGAAUAUUUUUAGUAGAGAAAUAAAAUAUCAAAAUAAAAUGUUGCUUUAAUUCCGUGUUACCAUUCUGUCGUACACAGAACAAUAGGAUGGUGUAAUAAACUAAUAACUGCGGUUUAACUGCAACUUUUACAUGCCUACAAGAAUCUAAAAUGCUAGAUUUCAAACUGCAGCAGUAGUCGGGUCUGUCAAAAAUGAACUCCACUGCGCACCUCAUGCAUGAAAAUAAGUUCAUGCCUUUUAGUAAGCUUAGAUGCAGGCCGCAGUGAACUUGUUAGUAUUGAAAUGUGGGUAAGCUUGCCAUAACAAGCCUUGUUGCCCUUUUUUAUAGGCACAUCCAUAUAUCCAUUGAGCUGAAGGACAAUAUUUUCAUCCCUACUGAGCAUCAUGUUUGCAGCUAUAAUCCUCAAAUUAUGGCUUCAGCAGUGGCACAACCAGGCAUGGUGCGGGGGGGUGGGGGGGCACACUGGGCACGUGCUUAGGAUGUGUCACAAGUGGUGUUUGCGAUACACCAGACUCAUGACAGACCUAUGACGUCUGAAAAUGACCAAUAUUCUAUUCAUUAGCAGGAGUAUUCUAAUAUUCAUGAAAAACAAGGAUGAACUGUGGUUUGUUUUUUUGCUUAAAUCUAAAAAUUGAAGUUAGUUUAGCAGUUGACUGUUGCAGUCAUUUGGAUGUUUUGCAUGCAUUUCACUAGGAAGACUAAGAGCUAAGACUUUUUUAUUGCCAUUGCCUUGACUGUCUUGAUGUUGUUUUGCACCAUGUCCUUGUGUUGACUUUUGCAUACGAUAUUUUUCAGGCACCCGCUUUAUAUAACGCAAGAAGGCAGCUGCAAGGACACGAGGAUGUGAAAGAGCCAGUGCAGCGCGACUUCACGUAGUGUAGAGGAGCCAAUGCCAAAAAAUCAAAAUACAUUGGCAUGUUAUUUGGACAAGAAAACUAGGACAACCCAGGACGUGCAUUUCUCAGCACCCAGUCAACUGCCAAAAGUGACUCAAACACAGGCCACCAGUGGAACUCGGCUGUACCACUGCAGUGCUGCGGAAAUUGCCUUCACCAGCGGCUUUGCAACAGCUGUUUCGCAGCAUGUCGGAGACAAUGCCUACGAAAUUAUUGGCCCUGAUCAUGAGAGCCCUCAAGGGGCAAACAACAUCUCUGUUGCAGAAGUGAGCCCGGUACCACUUGGAAGUUACCAUGACAGAUGACACGGCAGCAAUAGAUACAGAGACUGCCACGUCUACUGCAGCUGCAACAGUGUACGAGGCAAGCAGCAGCGCGUCAGCAGCAGUGUCAGAAGGAACCACACCAGGCCUGGUAGAGCAACAUGUGUGCUAUCACUGACUUUUUUUGUAGUGGAUACAACUCAUUUGCUCAACAUACAAAAGCUUUUUCACCACGACUGUGAGCCAGUGUUAUUGUGCAGCAAGUGCAAGACUAAGUUAAGUGUUAUAGCACAGUACAAGCAUCACUUUAACAUAUGAAAACAUAUUACAGUUGUUGCCUCCCCAGCCAGCCCACAUAGCCACAACAAUGUUGAACACAUGGUGGGAGACACAUCUUCUCCAUUAGAAGAUAGUAGAGACUGUCAGUGUUGUUGUUAGAUUAACUGGUCUUUGUAGGCAACUAGGACAACACAGGUGUCAUAAGAUUGUUGUUGAUGUUGUUGUUGAAGAGGUAAAAAAGAAGUUUGAUGCAGCUGAAGUGCCAACUGAUAUUGAGCAAAUCAAAAGCAACCACCUGAGAAAGCAACACUAUCAAAAUUUGGGUAUCUAUGUGCCGCCAACUCUGGUAAGAAUGGCAUAGGACAGAAGUGUGAUGAAAAUCACACAGACACUGCUGUUGCAUCACUGGCCACAGUGAGCAGCGACUUGUAGGGCAAGAGAGUCAACUGAAACUAACAUUAUGAUAUAGUGUCAUGCUCCCAUGUGACCACUUUUCAAGUUAUUUUGCAAGAUACAGCUCAACCUCCAGAAACGAGACUGCAAGUUGUCUGUAAAAAAGCUUUCACAAAAAAUUAUUCAUAACACCAUUAACAUAGCAGUAUCUUUUUUUUUGUGUCGGUUCGAGGUUCCCGGCUGUCCAUUAAUGCAAAAAUUGAGGAAAAAAAGAACAUGUGUCGUACUUACACCUUUUUAACAAGUACGAGGGGGACAGAACUUUUCUAGUCGUGCAUCUUCAUCAUACUAUCAAGUUUUUAAGUGCCUUUUAUAAUUAUUAUUACCAGUUAUAUCUGAGUGCAUUGUAUGCAUGUAGCAGGUGUAAAAUCAGGUCAGUUGGAUCAGAUGCCUUAUCUGCAAGCGAGCCCUAUAUUCAAGAAAUUUGAAAUAAAAUAGUUACGUUAGAGACGCAGUCUUUCAGCACUUUAUUGCCUGUGGUUUAAGCAUUGCUCAAUACUUUUGUGGGUGGCAAUUUCAACCGGCACAGCACUGCGCUUUGCCACAGUCACAUUUGUCUUCAAAGCGGUGUUUACCAUUUGUGUUGAUCUGUUUGUGUAUGCAUAGAGCAAGUUUUUAAUUUAUAUUUUUCUGCAUUCUUGUGCUUGCACUAAGCUUGUAUAAGGCAGUUACAAAAUGUGCGGCACUAUAACGAACUGUUCUGUUGAGCUUACACUUGCAAAUAAUCGUGUUCAGAUGGCCGCACUUCUAUGCGGGUGCACCGCUAGCUUUGUGUAUGUUCUCAUGUUUGUAUAAAGCUUAUAUAAGCUAGUUAGAAAAUGUAUGUCACUAAGCAUUGUGAUAUUCUUUAAAGAACUGCUUGGUUGGUUUUACACUUGUGAAUUAGUAUUGAGGUGGUGGUAUUCCCAUGUAUGCCCACUGCUAGCUUUCUGUGUCCUCACGUGUUUGUAUUAAGUUUCUACAAGGGAGUUACAGCAUGUACGUCACUAAGCGCUGUGAUAUUUUUUAAAGAACUGCUUUGUUGGUUUUACACCUGUGAGUAAUAGUACUCGUGUGGCACUAGUCAUGUGUAGGUACACAGGGACCAUUUGUAUACAUUAUGCUCAUGUAAAGCAGUUACAAAGUGUAUGUCACUAAUUACUGUGAUAUUUGUUGAAUUGCUGUGAUGGUUUUACACAUGUGAAUAAUAGUGGUCAGGACACAGUACUUGCGGUGUAUAGUUGAAUUUAUACACUGCCAAGACAUGGGCUGUAUACGUACCAAAAGAAAUGUAUGUCAUUAUAUUGUUGUGAUUAUUACUGUUUGGAUUUUAUUAAACUGUAAUAAAAUUGUUUCUUGUAUCUA
Dermacentor andersoni is the source of this 4639-nucleotide non-coding RNA. NCBI's taxonomy places the organism in Eukaryota, Metazoa, Arthropoda, Arachnida, Ixodida, Ixodidae. The record is from RefSeq and is a predicted model, not a curated record.